CUUUUCUUUUGGGGCCUAGUGGUGCAUAGAGCUGAGGUCAGUAAUUGCCCACUGGGAACUAUAAAUUAUAGUUCUCACGUCCUCUGUUUUAUGUUUUCUUUCAGAGCCUUCCACGUCGGGAGAGGCUAGGGACCGUGGGAAGGGCGUUGCUUCGAGCUAGCUCUUCGGCGAGUGACGAGUUGAUAGGUGGUCUACCUCUCGAUGUUUUUAUUUUAGAGAGGUUGAGAGCUGCACCAGUGUACUAGAGACCACCCUUUGUGUAUACCAUUUUGGAGAUAAUAUUAUACUACUUUAUGUUCACUCUUAUUGUUUUAGUAUAUUACUUUUUCCUUGUCGUAGAUGGUAGAUGUAUACUCGCUCUGAUAUCUCUAAUUAUUGAUUUCUUUGGUUUUAUUUCCGCUGUUGUUGUAGAUGCCUUAUAUGUGUUGACAUAUGGCGGGUCUGGGCACGCUACCGGGAGGGCCUCUGCCGGUCCCGGGGCGUGACAGAUUAGUUUGGUAUCAGAGCAUAGGGUUGAGUCUUAGAGGACCUAGCAAACCUUAGGCCGGUUGGACUAUAGGAAAUAGGCUCGUGAGAGACGGGGUCUAUUUGACUUGUGAGCGAAAGUAUUAUGAUUGGGUUUUAAGAUGACUCUAGAAAGUUAGAGUUUAAUCGGAGUGUAUGGUUUCUAACUUCGCGGAGGGUUACGUUGGCGGCCGACAACGUAACAUCAGGAGUUAGUUGUGGACAACACUUCCUUACUUUCGCAUGAUUUGGGUAUUGUUAAUUGAGCGGGGAUUCGAUAGCGCGGGUUACUAACUUGCGCUUUUAUGUUUUGUAGUGACAAUGCUGAUUACGCGCUCUGAAUCGGCGGGGGCGGACAAUGCGGCACAAUUUGAGGAGGCUGAGACCUCCACUACCUUCGGAUCCGGUGAGGUCCGUGAGUUGAGGGGCCAGUUGGCAGCCCUCACUGAUUUGGUGACGCGACAGGCGGACACGGCGCUUCGACAGGAGGCGCGGAUGAAGCACUUGGAGGACCUUCUGCUGCAGCAGGCGGCGGCUAGGGAGACUCAGAUCCCUACACCACCCGCACCAGUGGAGGUGGUUGCGCCUAGGGUGUCGUCCCCUGCACUCGACGCUUCUAGGACGGCACCAGCGGCGGCACCUCGGGGAGAGGACAUCGCGGCACCACCAGCGUGAGCAUCUGUAGCGGGGGCGGUUUUCCCCGUGAUGGUUAAGGGAGCCGAGCGGGAUCGGCUUAUGGAGCGUCUCAGCGAGUUCAGAAGAUGCAACCCCCGGACCUUCGACGGGAAGAACGUGGACCACUAGAUUGUAGAGAAAUGGCUUAUGCACAUGGAGAAGCUGUUUCGAGAUACCUUCGUCGAGGAGAGGGACAGAGUGUGGCUCGUCACACAUCAUCUAGACGGCGAGGCCUACCGAUGGUGGUUGGACAUCCAGGACAACCCCAGCACGGAUUUGACGGCGAUUACUUGGAGGAGGUUCAAGGAACUCCUGCUGGAGCAUUACUUCCCUGACAGUGUCAAGAGGAAGAUGGAGCAGGAUCUGCGCAACCUGCGCCAGGGAGACAGGAUGGUGGCCGAGUACGAGAGAGAGUUCUCCCGACUUCUUCAUUGCGUGCCCUUCGUUGUUCGGGACGACGAGGAUAAGCCCCGCAUCUUCGAGCGGGCAUUGCGGCCUUUGAUUUUUCGAUUUGUUCAGUCUUCCAACCUGCAAAUCUACCGGGAGGUUGUGAACCGCGAACUCAUAGUGGAGAGUGGAGCAGCGGAUCUGCAGGAGCGGCGAGAGGCCUUGGAUAAGGGUAAAGGCAAGAGGCCCACGGCUGAGGGUGCGAGUCAGGCGCACUCAGGGAAGCCGCCGAGACAUCCGAGACACCGGAGUCAGUCGCGAGGACGCGGCCAGUCUACUCAGCGAGGAGGACUUGAUCGACGUCAGGCUCCGCGCUGCGUGAUCUACGGUGGUCCCCAUUUUCCACGGCAGUGUUCACGCAGUCGGGGCAGGUGCUACCUGUGUGGCCAGGAGGGCCACUUCCAGUCGGACUGCCCGAGGAGUCCAGCACCACCGCCAUCUUCAGCAUCUGCACCAGCUUUACCGGGUCCCAGCCCGGGGACACCUUCUGCGCUUCACCAGGCCGGACGGCCGCCAGUGCAGCAGCAGGCGGAGGGGGCACGACAGGCCGCGAGUGGGCGCAUGUACGCGGCCCAGACUGAGGAGGCGGCAGCACCCGAGAAUGUGGUCGUAGGUAUCAUUUUACUUUAUGGUAUUCGAGUACGAGCAUUAUUUGAUACCGGUGCAUCGCAUUCAUUCAUAGACCGGCUGUUUGCAGAGUUGCAUGGCAUCCCAUUGACAUCUUUGUUGCAUCCGGGACGAGUUAUUGUACCCGACCACUCUUUAGAUAUUCGAGAGUUUUGCCCCAGUAGCCCUGUUCGGGUUGGAGAUUGGAUCAUGCCUGCGGAUUUACUAGCUUUGCAUAAACUUGGAGAGUUUGAUGUUGUAUUGGGCAUGGAUUGGUUGACCAAGUACUACGCCACAAUUGAUUGUAAGAAUCGAAAUGUGACGUUUAGAGAGCUGGGGCAGGCGGAGGUUGUGUACUGAGGAUUCCAGAGUUCGCUGUUUGCGAUGACGAUUAGUUCCUCUCGAGAUAGACAGCUGAUCAGCAGAGGCUGCGUGGCCUAAUUGGCUACUAUUGUGUUGCGGGGCGAUUCAGACGCCCCUAGGAUUAAGGACCUUCCCGUCGUGCGGGAGUUUGGAGAUGUGUUUCCGGCUGAGCUUCCAGGCAUGCCACCUGAUAGGGAGAUUGAGUUUGUGGUAUAUCUCGUCCCCGGGACUACUCUAAUCUCAAAGGCGCCCUAUAGGGUGGCACCAGCAGAAUUGAAGGAGCUGAAGGCACAGUUGCAGGAUCUUCUAGACAAGGGUUUUGUGCGACCGAGUGUGUCACCUUGGGGAGCACCGGUCCUAUUUGUCAAGAAGAAGGAUGGAUCACUUCGCUUGUGCGUGGAUUACCGUGAACUCAAUAAAGUCACGAUUAAGAACAAGUAUCUAUUACCAAGGAUUGAUAAUUUAUUUGAUCAGCUCCAGAGAUCUAGUGUAUAUUCCAAGAUCGACCUGCAGUCGGGAUACCACCAAUUGAAGAUCAAGCCGGAGGAUGUGUCAAGGACGGCUUUUAGAACACGGUAUGGACAUUAUGAGUUUACUGUGAUGCCGUUCAGGCUUACUAAUGCCCCGGCAGCUUUUAUAGAUCUAAUGAACCGUGUUUUCAAGCCUUAUCUAGACAGGUUCGUCGUAGUAUUCAUCGACGACAUUUUGGUCUAUUCCCGAAGUGCUGCGGAUCACGAGGAACACUUGAGACUUGUACUUCAAGUGUUUCGGAAAAAGAAGCUCUACGCUAAAUUGAAGAAGUGUGAGUUUUGGCUUAGAGAGGUGGCGUUUUUGGGCCAUUUGAUUUUCGGAUCAGGUAUAGCCGUGGAUCCUAGAAAAAUUGAAGCUAUCAAGGACUGGCCGAGGCCGACGAGUGUCACCGAGAUUCAGAGUUCUCUUGGCUUGGCCGGCUACUACCGACGGUUUGUCGAGGGAUUUGCAAAGACAUCCACUCCCCUCACGAGGCUCACGCAUAAGGGCACCAAGUUUGUUUGGAAUGAUGAGUACGAAAGGAGCUUUCAAGAGUUGAAGCAGAGAUUGACGACCGCCCCGAUCCUAACCUUGCCAACUGCUGGAGCAGGGUAUGUGAUUUAUAGUGAUGCUUCCUUUAAUGGAUUGGGCUGUGUUUUAAUGCAGGAUGGGAAAGUGAUAGCGUAUGCAUCGCGCUAGUUGAAGGAUUAUGAAAGAAACUGCCCUACUCAUGAUUUGGAAUUGGCGGCCGUAGUCUUUGCAUUGAAGCUAUGGCGCCAUUACUUAUACAGCGAGCGAUGCGAAGUAUAUACGGAUCACAAGAGUUUAAAGUAUUUAUUCACUCAAAAGGAGUUGAACUUGAGGCAGCGCAGAUGGUUGGAGCUACUCAAGGAUUACGAUUUGACGAUACUUUACCACCCGGGCAAGGCUAACGUGGUGGCGGAUGCGCUAAGCAAAAAAUCGACGGAAAACUUAGCGAUGCUUGUGGUUACUCAACCACCGUUGAUCGAGCAGAUGAAGCAGUUGGAGUUGGAGGUAGUGGCUCCUGAUACACCUUUGAGACUAUUGACUUUGGUGGUGCAACCUAUACUAGUGGAAAAGAUUAAAGAAAAGCAAGUCUCCGAUACGGAAUUGCAAAAGAUUCGCGCUAAAAUGCUUGAUGGGUGCACCGGUGACUUUUCUGAGGACGGUGUUGGACUGAUGCGCUUCCGUGGACGGAUCUGUGUACCGGCGGAACCGGCACUUAAGGAAGAAAUUCUUCAAGAGGCACACCGAGCACCGUAUGCUAUACAUCCGGGAGGCACCAAGAUGUAUAAGGACUUAAAGUUGCAUUAUUGGUGGCCCGGGAUGAAGAAGGACUUUGGUGAGUUUGUUGCUAGAUGUUUAACUUGCCAACAGGUGAAAGCUGAGCAUUGAGUCCCUGCGGGAAAUUGCAGAGCCUACCGAUACCAGUAUGGAAAUGGGAGAAGAUCACCAUGGACUUUGUGAUGGGUUUGCCCCGCUCGCAGGCCGGGCGUGAUGCUAUCUGGGUGAUCAUGGAUAGGUUGACGAAAUUGGCACAUUUCGUACCUAUCCACACUACUUGGACUGGUGAGAGACUCGCACAGGUAUACUUGGAUGAGAUUGUGCAAUUACACGGGGUACCUACUUCUAUAGUGUCAGAUCGAGACCCCCGAUUCGUAUUUCACUUCUGGCGGAGCUUACAGGAUGCUUUGGGUACGCGCUUAGAUUUCAGUACAGCUUUCCACCCCCAGAGUGACGGGCAGUCAGAGCGUACUAUACAGACUCUCGAGAACAUGCUUCGAGCCUGUGUAAUUGACUUUCAGGGAGGAUGGUCGCAGCAUCUACCGAUGGCAGAGUUUGCUUAUAACAACAGUUAUCAAGCAAGCAUCAAGAUGGCACCGUUCGAGGCGCUCUAUGGACGGAAGUGUAGAUCGCCACUUCACUGGAGUGAGGUUGGCGAGAGAUUGGCUUUAGGCCCAGAUGUGCUCCAGGAAGCAGAGGACAAGGUUCGCAUUGCUCGGGAGCGACUGUUAACAGUCCAAAGUAGGCAAAAGAGUUAUGUUGACAAGCGUCGACGGGACUUGGAGUUUCAGAUUGAUGAUCAUGUCUUCUUGAAAGUCUCGCCGACCAGAAGGAUUAGGAGAUUCGGGAUCCGGGGUAAGUUGAGCCCCCGAAACAUUGGACCGUAUGAGAUUUUGGAGCGUAUAGGCUCGGUAGCAUAUCGACUUGCGUUACCUCCGAACCUAUCGGGCGUACAUAAUGUUUUUCAUGUAUCGGUCCUUCGGAAGUACAUCUAUGAUCCAGCUCAUGUGCUUGACGCUACACCAUUGGAGCUGCGAGAGGAUUUGAGCUUUGAAGAGCAACCUUUGAGGAUUCUGGCUCGCGAAGUAAAAAUAUUGCGGAACCGUGACAUUCCCUACGUGAAGGUGCUUUGGAGCAACCACGACGAGCGCGAGGCCACUUAGGAGUUGGAGAGUGCACUGCGAGAGCGCUAUCCCCAUCUUUUUCAGAUGGAGGCUUGAGGUACUUUACCUUUUUGAGUUUCGCGGACGAAACUCCUUUUUAGGAGGGGUGAAUGUAACACACUGGACCUUUGCAAAUUGCGAGGUUCGAGUGAUUGGAUGUGUUUCGAGUUUUUCCACACUUGGUGGAGGGUCGUAGAAUGUUUUCCGAACUAAAAAGUUCGAAAACUGGAAUUCUGGAUGAGUCCUGAGAGUUUUUACUCUCGGGGACUGGUCCCUGAAAGGAGAGACCGGUCCCCCAGUGAGCAGUGCUGUGCAGCCGGCGAGGAGACCGGUCCCGCGCAGGGAGAGACCGGUUCCCGAACGAUGGUUUUUCGAGUUCGACACGAGAGACCGGUCCCUUGCAAGGAGAGACCGGUCCCUCUGGGCGAAAAUUGCCGAGACCGCGCUGAUGCAAUAUUGGAUUUUUGAGGGGCCUCUUUGGAUUUUGUUACACUAGAUGGCUUAUAUGGCCACACCACCCUCUCUCCUUCUCAUUUCUCUCCUCAUACUCACUCCCCACCCUUGUUAGAGAGAGAAGAGGAAGGAGAAGAAGGAAGAAGAAGAAGAAGAAGGAGAAGGUCUUUUGGUGCACUUGGAGCAUUUCUUUCCUCUCCUUCUCUUCCCACCUUGUUGGUGCUUGAAGGCUUGGACUUGGAGCUUGCAAGAGAGGAGAACUUCACCCUUGGAGCUUGGAUUGGAGCGUCUAAGGAGGUUUGUUGCUCAUUUCCUUUCUCUAGACCUUGAUUUGGUGGGUUUUACCAUAUGGAACCCUAAAAUGGGAUUUUAGGGUUAAUUUUGGGGCUUUUUGAUCUAAGGCUUUUGAGGCUCAAUUUCUUGAUUUAGAAUCUUCCUUUAGGUUAGAUUGGAAGGAUCAUAACCUUCUUUUGGAGCUUGAGAGAGAAUUUCUACUCCCUAGGUGAGUUUUUACCAUUUUUGUAAGAUUGUUAAUGUUUGGGCUUAGAGUUGUUCAUAACGCUCGUGUAUCUUUUUGCUCAUUACUUUUAGGGUAUUUUGAGACUCGUGGACAACUCCGUUCGGCGAAACGAGGGACUACACGACGGUUCGGUGGGUUUGACCUAGCCUGGCAUAUGAGAAAUUCUCGUAUCCCAUGUUUUAUGCUUGUAGAGAAAAAAUUCAUGCAUUUCCAUGAUAAAUGUAUUUAUUGUGAAUUUUAGGAUGCUUAACAUGCCUAUAUUAGGUGUAAGAAAUUUCGGGCCCCUAUAUAGUAGAGGGCUACCUUGGGGGACUUGUACACGAUUGGCAUCCUAUUGAGACUUAGAAUCAUACUUUCUAUUGUGAAAAUGAGCGUUACCUUCAUGCAUUCUAAGCUAUUCUUAUUUGAGACUUAAAGGAUCUUAAUAAGCCAUAAAAGGGGCAUAUGACAAGAUUGACAUGUGAGAUUGUGAGCUAAUGUCAUAAAGCGGCACUGAGCUCGGGUUGUGUGUGAACCUAGUGGAUAGGGCCAUUGAGAGAAUUGGAACUUGUAUGUAUAUCGAAAUGUCUAAGUGUCAUAAAGGGGCACUAGACUUAGUGAAUGAAUGAAACUUUACAUUGUGACCUAGAGCUAGACCGUUGGGUUACUAGUAGCUAUUGCCAUGUUUGAGACAUGAGGGUUGGAUACUUGAGCUUUUGACUACGCUUGCUUGCCAUUUGUGCUUAUUCGCACAUGCUUGUGAGGGUCGCUCCCUACAAGCCGGCACUCCGGAGUUGGCCUACGUGACUGAUGUUCGCUCGUGCGGUAUCGAGAAGCCUACGGGGUCGAGUGGGACAGACACAUUCCAAGAGUAGGAAUGUUGGGCUGCCACAGGCACUUAGGCGGCACAAGCUGUACUACCUUGGGUAGGUCCUUAAUUGGAAAUGGAAAUUGACACGGUAUUGAGUGUGUUAUAAUCACUACUAGAUAGAGAGUAGUAGUUGGAUUACUUGGACUUGCUUAUAGCAUAGCAUUUGGGCCUGUAGUAUACAUGAUAACCUUAUUCAUUGCAUCAUAGUAUACUUGCUAUCAUGAUAGAGCAUAUUCAUCAUACAUUGGACUUAUUAGUCAUGUUUGGACUUACUUCAUAGGGAUGAAGUAGAUGUACAACACUUUCGACAUCAUGUUUCUUUGUGAUAUAGUAGCUUAGCCUUUUAAUUAUGCUUUCAUAAAUGCAAUUAUUUCAUUACUAUUGCCUUAUUGACUUACCUUUUCUUUUGGGGCCUAGUGAUGCAUAGAGCUGAGGUCAGUAAUUGCCCACUGGGAACUAUAAAUUAUAGUUCUCAUGCCUCUGUUUUAUGUUUUCUUUCAGAACCUUCCCCGCCGGGAGAGGCUAGGGACCGUGGGAAGGGCGUUACUUCGAGCUAGCUCUUCGGCAAGUGACGAGUUGAUAGGUGGUCUACCUCUCGAUGUUUUUAUUUUGGAGAGGUUGAGAGCUGUACCAGUAUACUAGAGACCACCCUUU
RNAcentral lists this long non-coding RNA (8050 nucleotides) under Ananas comosus (pineapple). RNAcentral describes it as "long non-coding RNA (ACOM_LNC000833)". The record is from RNAcentral. Lineage: Eukaryota; Viridiplantae; Streptophyta; Magnoliopsida; Poales; Bromeliaceae.